GUGCUAAUACAUGCAGUCGAACGAACUCUGGUAUUGAUUGGUGCUUGCAUCAUGAUUUACAUUUGAGUGAGUGGCGAACUGGUGAGUAACACGUGGGAAACCUGCCCAGAAGCGGGGGAUAACACCUGGAAACAGAUGCUAAUACCGCAUAACAACUUGGACCGCAUGGUCCGAGCUUGAAAGAUGGCUUCGGCUAUCACUUUUGGAUGGUCCCGCGGCGUAUUAGCUAGAUGGUGGGGUAACGGCUCACCAUGGCAAUGAUACGUAGCCGACCUGAGAGGGUAAUCGGCCACAUUGGGACUGAGACACGGCCCAAACUCCUACGGGAGGCAGCAGUAGGGAAUCUUCCACAAUGGACGAAAGUCUGAUGGAGCAACGCCGCGUGAGUGAAGAAGGGUUUCGGCUCGUAAAACUCUGUUGUUAAAGAAGAACAUAUCUGAGAGUAACUGUUCAGGUAUUGACGGUAUUUAACCAGAAAGCCACGGCUAACUACGUGCCAGCAGCCGCGGUAAUACGUAGGUGGCAAGCGUUGUCCGGAUUUAUUGGGCGUAAAGCGAGCGCAGGCGGUUUUUUAAGUCUGAUGUGAAAGCCUUCGGCUCAACCGAAGAAGUGCAUCGGAAACUGGGAAACUUGAGUGCAGAAGAGGAAG
This 649-nucleotide ribosomal RNA is filed under the name Lactiplantibacillus plantarum. RNAcentral describes it as "bacterial SSU rRNA". It matches the Rfam family "Bacterial small subunit ribosomal RNA", at positions 44 to 660 of the family's 1533-position model. The record is from RNAcentral. Lineage: Bacteria; Bacillati; Bacillota; Bacilli; Lactobacillales; Lactobacillaceae.